Molecule: ribosomal RNA, 163 nt
Filed under: Hypochaeris maculata
Lineage: Eukaryota; Viridiplantae; Streptophyta; Magnoliopsida; Asterales; Asteraceae
Description: 5.8S ribosomal RNA
Rfam family: 5.8S ribosomal RNA
About the family: 5.8S ribosomal RNA (5.8S rRNA) is a component of the large subunit of the eukaryotic ribosome.
Source: RNAcentral
AAACGACUCUCGGCAACGGAUAUCUCGGCUCACGCAUCGAUGAAGAACGUAGCAAAAUGCGAUACUUGGUGUGAAUUGCAGAAUCCCGUGAACCAUCGAGUUUUUGAACGCAAGUUGCGCCCGAAGCCAUCCGGCUAAGGGCACGCCUGCCUGGGCGUCACGC